CAAUGAAGACGACUCCCCAACACGAGCCCACGAGGAUUCGAUCUCUCUUGCCUCGCCGCGUCGGUCUCGGCUAGUCGGCUCCCCCUCCCCGUCUUGGCGUCUCUCAAUGUGCCGCGCCGCUCACCUCACCGUCGACGCGAAUCCCUCGCCGUCCCCGCACACGAUACCUGGCGCGUGUCUUCUUGGUCUCCGUUCCGCUCCGCUCCGCCGCGCUGCGAGGGGAAGCUGGAUGACAAUUUGCUAGUUCUGUGACUUCCUUGCCAUGGUAUGUUUAGCAGUGGAGAGUCCUUCCUAAAGAGCCCAAUUGUGUUGUAUGUGGGUGAGAUGGCAAGUAUACAUGUGGCCAAAUUGGUGAUGCAUUCAUGAGCAUUCGUUUUGCUGUUAUUUCUGCCAACAUAAAGCUAGCAACAGAAGUAGAAAAAUUUGUCAAACCUUCAGUUGGUGGUGAGAGCUUCAGUGUCUAAGGCAGCAGCUUACCUGCUAGAUCAAUUUCACAUAUUGGAGCUUUUAAUAGAGAACUGCAAUCACAGGCGCCUCAUCCUGUGGUCUCCUGCGGAAGGUUUUGCUCAUCCUGAGACCUCACGAUCUGUUAUGCCUACCCAACACAGAUGCAUCAAUAAAUAAUGGAAGCUUUUGACUCUGUUGAUGCUAGGUAUCUGCAAAGAAACAGUUAUGUUCCCAGUUGACAAAAUCUCUAGUUGUUCAAAUUCGCAGUUGUAGCACUUAUGGAUCGUGAGGACCAUUUGCAGUUGCUCCUGUUGGUGGAAGAGCAAGCAAUAGUGCUUCAAAAGGAUCUACCUUUUAAAACUUCUCUAUGGCGAUCCUUUGCCCCAGAACUGCAGAAAUUGAGAUGUGUGAUAGUUGGUACCACUAUCUAUAGUGGGCUGGUUGAUCCUACAGUGUUGAACCUUAUAAUCUUCUGCACCCUUGUUUGGAUGGUUUAGAUUGUUUACAGCCAAUGACAUUUAGGUAUUUAGGCCAUGUAAUUCUUUUGAGCACCUCCAGAAGACCUAAUUGUAACAUUUUAACCUAGGUUGUGACGUCUCAGCAUUCAGCAGCAGUAUGUUUGAUCAGGAAGGCUAAAACUCUGGUAACAGUAAUAUAUAUACCAGACGGAAACAAAGUAAGCUGGACAAAUGAUUUAAACAACUGAACAAGUAGUCACCAAUGUGGAGUUGAAGAAUUUUCAUUACAGGAGAAAUACCUGUCACUGUUUCUAACAAGUUUAUGGACAGAGUAUGAGUCGUGGAUUUUGAGAGUAUGCCAAGUUAUAUUAGUUAAUCUGACAAAAACCACCAAACAAUAUCUUGAAUGGAGACGGGAAUGUGUUAAUUUCUUUGUGAUUGAGGAUGACUGCAAGCUUUUUAGUGGGUCUGUUCAUUCUCUGAAGCCUGCCAGAGUGCAGUGGCGACUCUUCGUCUCUUUGACAUGCACUCUAGAGCAUAAAUUCAUAUGACAAAUGUAAAUUAUCUGCCCCCUAUGUCAGUGUAAACAAUAUAUGAGUCAAAUACAAAAGGUAUGAUUUGCAAUUUUCCUUUCUCCUAUUGUAGUUGUUCAAGUUUUUUAUUUGUGAAAGUAAUUGUUAAAAUCUGUUUGUAGUUAAUGAGUUACAUCACAGCUUUAGAACAUUUGAUUCUGUACUUGUAUGGCUAGCUCUAGCACAGGCAACUAUGAUUUAUGUCUUACCAUAUAUAGGAGUGACUCCAUACACCCCCAGCAGAAAGGUGCACAGAUCUUGGUAGCUAAUCAUUUAGUGCAAAUCAGCCAUUCAACUCAUUUUGGUUUUAGGAUAUUUGCUGUUUCCUUUCAGGAAGCAUGGAGCCACUUUGCUUCCUUACUAUAUGACCCCCCUUAGCAUAUGUUACUCUUACAGUGACUUCUUUUGCUGUAGUUUCAGUCGCUUCUAGCCUAGAUACUUCAGGAAUUUUCUUCGUUGUCAACUUGCUCUGUGUUUUUACUCGGGAAUGCAAUGAUUAACCUGUUUGCCACAUUCCUAGACCUCCUGCCCCUCGAUAUUGAAUAUGGUCAAAUUUGUGACCUGAUUGCUCUUGGAUAUAUCUAGUAUCAAACAAUCAAGGUGUCUGGCAUAGGUUGAUUAUGUCGGGUAAUAUGGGCUCUGUCUGAACUAUUUUAUAUAGAGAAGUUAUACUUCUGUUGUAUUCAUUGUGUACUUGGUUGGAAAUUAAGUUACUCUGUGGCCAUUUCUUAAAUGAGACUAUGAGAGAGAAAUUUCAUGAUAUGUGGGUUACUCAUUUGUCAUCUUUUGAAAGCAAAUGGACAAAUACAUAUAACAUGACCUCAGUCCUAUUGUUGCUUUGAACGUUGCUUUUGUGCAGUGUAGGCCUGGCACAUUUAUGCUCUUGAGACUGUUUGCAUGAGUUCUUGUGCUCUAAAGUGUCGUCACUGCCUAUAACUCUUGACUAUCAUAUUCCGCUUUAGAAAAUCUUGACUAUUAUAUGGGUCCAUGCACUCAAGUCUGUUAGUCAAGGUUUAACUUAAGGAUAUUAUUCUGAGAAAUAGAAGAUCUGUACAACUAUUUAGGCUGCAAAUAAUAAAUGAAACCGAACAUCAUCCAAGUGUAAAAGAAUUGAAGUGAUGAAAUUAAAAUUGCGGCUGUCGAAAUAGUCAGUUUAUUCAUGUACCAAGACCAGCACCAUGACUUUUCCUUUUUCAAACGAACAAAUUAUUACAGCUUACAAUAUUGAUGCCAGACUUGAAACAAAUACAAUUGUGCCAUGCAUAUUUUUUGGAAUAGUAUCAGGUUUGAUCUAUUUCCUAUUGCCCUAUGAAAGUUGUUGGUUCAAAGUUUGAAGUAAGUUCACCUGGCCUUUGUGGACUGGUUUUUUCAAAAACAAAUGCUGGUGAUGUGCAAUAAGUAGAAACUACGAGUAGGACCAGUCCAACCGCUAUAUCUUCAUUCUUCAAAGGUAUAUGUGUCAGCGGGAGCUGUCGAAAAGCUAGUUUAUUUUAGUGAAAUAACAUUUUCACAAAAUUACAGGUUUAUUUAAAAUCUACAAAGAACUGAAGAUUUAAGCAGCAAUCUAGCAUAGAGUAGCCUUCUAUGCCUAUUCCGUAGCCUGGCCAACUGCGAUGCUAGACGUUCGUCUGCAUUUCAUUACCCUGUUGGGCCAUCGCUAUUAACACUGAAGUCUCAAAACAUCCUAGAAAAAAUGUACUACUUCGUUAAAAAGUUUGAUCCUUACCUCUGUACUUCUUUAAACUCGAAAAAACGAAAUCUGCACUUCUGCAAGAUUAAUGAGCAAAUCUUCAGUUUUUUUAUGUUUUGACUACCUGUAGUCUUGCAAAAAAUUUCUCUACUACUAUACAAUGAUUGAAAUUGGGGGUCUUUUCUGCUUGCAUACCUGGGCUAAACCCGGGGCUAAAGGGAUUAGAAUCACCCUGCCUCCUUCUUGGGACGUCCAUUGAUCAAUAUGUAUCACCGAUGUACUCGCCUCUUAGGAGGAUGUAUCCCCCCCCCUUUCAAUGCAAUGAAACGCAAAGGUUUUUUGCGUUUUCUCGAGACAUAUAGAGUUGUAAAAAGGGGAUUUACUAAAAUGUUGUUCAGAAAGUCUUCUGUGUAAUGUAUGCGUAAACUAAAAUAAAAAGUAUGCUUUAUUUAUUUUUGUUCCAUGGAAAGAAUUGUUGAAAUAAACCCAAGAUAAUGAUUCAUCAAGCAUGUAACCAUUCUGAAUGGCUAUAAGCCUUUGAUAGUGUCAAAAUCUAACAACUAGCUAGGACCACCAGGCACAGUACUAAGCCCUCCUAAGAGGGGUAGGGGUCUGAUCAUACACUAGCAGUUAUACUUACCAACGCUUUGCAAUGGGUGGUUGGCUGGUCUACAGCUAGCUGCUUGCAGAAAUGCUGAUUAGACCUUAUUCUUCUAGAGUGUAUUUUAGAGAAUGUGCAAGAGCUUUGCACAUCUUAUCAUGAAGAAGUGUGCCAGAUGUGAUUUAUCUUUGAUAAAAAGAAUUAUCGAUACCGAUAAACCCAGAGAAUGUUGUACACACUAACUGCAGGCAAAGCAUUCCAGAGCAGGUUCAUUACCUUUAUACAUUAUCAAUUAGCUGUGUCCGCACAUAGCAUGUUUCGCUGGCAUCUUCCCAAACAUGGUAAAUUGGCGGUUCUCUCAUGUUGGGUCUCUUUUAGACUAUAUCUUUGCAUGGUGUAGUAAUUUACUCGCUGGAUAUUUCAGCAGAUCACUCACCAUGUGUUUGGAACUUGGAAUAGUUAUAAAAGUGUGGUAGUAUACUUUUCAUUUGAACCAUGGCAAGAAAAUUACAGGUCACAAUCCAGUGACAAAAUUUAGACUCUCAGCCCUAAUCAACUCUAGUUUCUUUACUUCUUAAUUGCAAAUUUAUGGUUCACUAUUUCAUGCAUGGUUAAUACUCCAUUUUUUUUGCUUUGGGUGUUUUUUCGGAGAAAGAAGUUUUUAAACUUUGAAUGAUGUUUUCUCAUACUCCUUCCGUCCACGAAUAAGUGUACAUUUAGCUUUAAAAUUUGUCCAUAAAAAUGUGUACAUCUAUCUUCUCAAUGCACUAUAAAGUAGAAAAAAAAUGCUUCUCUCUCAUCACAUGGUAAUCAAGACCGAUAACAUUUAAGACAUGAUCUCCUUACUUUCUACAUGCGCUUAGCUCAUUGGGUGUGGAAUAAUUAAAGAUGAAAGAGGUGAUAGCUUGCAUCUUUUCAAUGCAGUUUUAUACUUCACUUUAUAAUCUGUCUUAAAAUUUCUAUAUGCACACUUAUUCACGGACGGAGGGAGUAUCUGAGUAUAUAUUGCAUAGUAUUUGCAAAAAAAGUAUAUAUUGCAGUGGAAACCAUGCAUUGCAAGUGUGCGGUUGCUGAUAUACCAAGUCUUAUGACCCUAACCCUACAAGUUUCUAUACCAAUAAUACUACAAGUUGGGGUGAGAUGCUUUCCAUUUGAACUAUUUGUGAAUCCUUAGUGCGAACUCAUCCCUUGAGUGGUUUAUGGGAGAAAUAAUUUCAGUGAGCUUCUAUUUUAAAUACACUUUUCUUUGUAUAUGUGUGAAUUGCCUUAAAUAUACUUACCAUAUCUUUCCCACUUACUAUAUUAUAUGUUUAUAUAUUUUAUAUACUUAGAAAGAUUGGAGUUGGUGGUCGUCUGUUCAUUCUUCUCCCAAUCUUCCUCCUUCAAACUUUGACAAAUGGGACAAUCUUUGCCUCCGUUUCGAAAAAAAAAAACAAAUGGGACAAUGCAAGCCUUCACACUCCUCGUGAAUCCCCCCUUCAUGACGUCUCCCACCACUAAUUACACUUGGGCCAACUGGCCAAACUCAAAGUGGUCGGACCCUUCCGUGGACCCUGCACAAGAGGGAGCUAGCACCGGGCAAAACUCAUCUAAGCUAGCAUACAAGGUUCUUGUUCUUGGGUAAACCAAAUUCCACCUUGUUUCCUGUGGUUCCGUGGCGUAGCACUGACAUCUUUGCUAGUAAGUACUCCAUCUGUCUCAAAAUAUAAGACCUUUUAUUUUGAGAUAGAGGGAGUAGAAUAUACUGGAAAUGUCCGCUUAAAAUUUAUUCUUCACUUUUACUACAAGCUAAGGAGUGCAUGACAUCCUUUGUCUAAUAGUGUACCUUCGCAGCUUCCUCUUUAUCCAAAAGUUGAAACAUAGCACCUUUCCAUUUUUUUACUCAUUGCCAGGGGUAAUACUCCUGUUAUCUUUACAACCCACUUGACAAUGUCAUUAAUCAAUUAGUUGGCAUGUACAUGCACCAUAAUUUGGGCCAUUUUAGGUGGAUCUGGGGGAUAACAGUGUCAACAUCGCUGGGUAACUUAAUGCGUUAUGCCUUACAAAUGUUGAUUAGGAUGGCAUCGCCAGAUUGAUUCCAAUGAGUGUAGCAAAGGGCAAAGUUAAUGUUGGGGGACCAGUACACCUACACUACUGGACAUAUUGAAUGCAUGCUUUUGCAACAUGGGAGGUCCUUCACCAGCUACUGUGGCACCACAAGAUGUCAAGGCGAGACUAGUAUGAUUUUUUCAGAAAAUAUAGUAGCAGCAGCAGUGUCACUACCCUAAAUCAUUGGAGCAUCAUAUAUCUAACAAUUUGUUCUGCAGGACAUAUAAGGUGCACUAAUUGUCAUAAUAUUUCAGCUUUGCUGUGCGGAGCCCAUUUAUUAUGUUUUGAUGGAUGGAGACCUGAAGUGGUGAUCACCUUUUUCUGAUAACAAGGACAUGACGAGAAAGGCAAACUGAUUUGUUUGUAUCUAAGCAUCCCAACUCAGUAGGGAUCUCGCUAUAUUGGCAUCGCUUUUGCUUCUGGCCACCACCAUUGGAUUUCACCAAGCAAUGUUCUUAAAGCACCUGAUGAUUCUCUAUGGUGACUGAUCCCUUGUAUUACAAGAGUGUUACACAAGGGAACAUCCAGGAAUUGGAUGGAUGGUCUCAUGCGCAGGAGUAAUUGAUUGACAGAUGUUUUCGGUAAAUUGUGUUCUUCGUCUCGGUUUGGCUUACCAAAUGAUUUUGAAAACUCGGGGUGCAUGCUCUCUCUUUUCUUCAAUUGUUACUCCUUCCAGCUAUAGAAAGUACACCAUCUGUUCCCUAAUAUGAGGAGGCUGCCUUCUUCACCGUGCAGCAGCCCAUGUGACGGCGAAGCCGGGCUGCUCCUGCUCAGCAGCUCCUCUAUCAUCUGCAGC
This is a long non-coding RNA of Hordeum vulgare subsp. vulgare (domesticated barley), 6652 nucleotides long. RefSeq lists it as uncharacterized. The record is from RefSeq and is a predicted model, not a curated record. Lineage: Eukaryota; Viridiplantae; Streptophyta; Magnoliopsida; Poales; Poaceae. The transcript has 5 exons.